GGCGGCACCCAUUGGCUCCCACGAGGCGCCUGCGCGUUGCGCUGUAUGAGCUUCCUGCCAAUCGGCACGUGAGACUACGCGGUGACGUCAGCGUUGCCUAAGCAACCCGGGCACUCUCGGGGAGUUAGUGGACCGCCGACCUGUGACCGGAGCUUUCGUUAGAUCGUCACCUGUACCUGCGAAAAAGCCCAAACUUAGCCUCGUUUAAGACAUACCACAGACGCUGGACUCUUCUGAAAAACCUGUCACGUCGGCUUGGUCUCUCUUGCUUGUAAACAUUGAUAACUGACAUGCAGACUGGGGUGGAGAGAAGAUAAACAACUUGCUCAGACAUACGGUAAAAGGUUGGAAUAUACCAAUAAAUAUGCUGUUGCUGCUUUAACAAGCCACUUCCUUUUGUUGCCAUAUUCAACCAAAAUGUAGAUUGCUAUAGGAGCUUUCCUGCAAUGCCCUUUGCUGUUCUCUGACCAGAGCGGCAGCACUGUAUUAUCAUCUUGGAACCUGGUACAAAGGCACUGAGAGUGGAACAGGCUUUAAUUCAAAAGCUGGUCGGUUGGCCAGAGUUUCUCAUCAAGGAGUACAUGCUGUUUGCUCCCCAGAUGGACAGCCUGGAUGAGCUACAAAUCCACAGAGCCUGGGACACAAGGCCUGGGCUAGUCUCCUUGAGGAUGAGAGACCACGUGGAGCAGAGACAUGAACCACCCAGCCUGCCUGUAGCCCAUCAGUGUGAAGGAGGCCACCUGGGACCUCCAGCUCCAGCUGACGCACCAGCUGCCUGCAGACCCACUGACUUGUAAACAAUAAAAUUGUUAUUGUAAGCCUUCA
RNAcentral lists this long non-coding RNA (825 nucleotides) under Equus caballus (horse). RNAcentral describes it as "lncRNA (ENSECAG00000045861.1)". The record is from RNAcentral. Lineage: Eukaryota; Metazoa; Chordata; Mammalia; Perissodactyla; Equidae.